CUCUGACUCAAACUAUUACAAUAGAUUCUCAAUUGUUCUCUCUUCCUCCAAUCUCUUCCCCAUAUCCAUCCAUUCUCCAUACAACUAGGAAGCUAAUAUUUCUAAAAGACAGGUUUUUGGAGGUGUGCUGGAGUCAGCUCAAAUUUUCAGUGUAUUGACAUUUCAGAAAUUUAACUAUACAUCAAGGGUUAAUUUGUUGCUUUGUGGGUUGUCUAGACUUAGGAAAGUGUUAAUAAAAUAAAUUAAACUUAGAAUUGUGUGUGCUUAUAUCUUCCCCUCCCCAGGCCUGUAUUGGUCUAUAAACAUUACUUGAGUUUAGCAGGAGUGCAGCAGAAGACUAGAGAAAUGAAGUCAGUCAAUAAACAUCAAUUAAGAGCCUACUAUGUGCUAGUCACGAUGCUAAAGCACUGAAGACACAGAAAGAGGUAAAAGACAAUCCUUGCUCUCAAGGAGCUCAUAAUCUAAUAGGGAGAAAACAUGUGAAUAUGUACAAACAAGCUACGUACAAGAUAAAUAGAAAAUAAAUAAGAGAAGUGAGGCACUAAAAUUAAGAAGCAUUAGGAAACUGGUGGCUAACAAUAACAACAAAAAUAAGUGUCAUUUAUAGGAGGUUUUAAGGUUUGCAAAGUGCUUUACAUCCAUUACCUUGUUUGAACCUCACAACACUCCUGGGUCUGACCAAAUUACUCCCUUGCCCAAAAAGCUUCAAUAGCUCCUCAUUGCUCUUAGGAUAAAAUACAAACUCCUCCGUUUAUCAUUUAAUGUCCUUUAUCAUCUAGAUAUAAUCUAUUCCUAACUGAUUUGGGAUUACUCCUCAUUCUACUCCCAACAUCCCCGGCGCAUCAGUCUCCUUACUUUUUCUCCUACACAAUGUUCCACAUGCAGAUUUCCAUGUCACCUUCCUGACAUUGCAUAAGUUGUCCCCCAUGCUUGGAAUGGCAUCCUUCUUCAUCUCUGCUUCUUGGACUCUCUACCUCCCUUCAAGCCUCAAUAGAGCCCAUGAGAUCCAGCGUCUUCAUUUUAUGAAGGAAGAAACUGUCACUCAGAGGAAUAAGUGCUCUUCCCAAGGUCAUUCUGAGAAUACGAGACAGGAUUUGAACAUAGGUCCCCUGACUAUCAAGACUUUGCUCUUCCACUGGCCACAUUCUUUUUAUGAAAAAGAUACACAAGAGAAUCACAGUUUCAGAGCUGGAAAGGAUCUUCUUGACCACCAAAUUUAAUCCAUAUCUAAUUAAGCAUCUCCUCUACAACAUGCCCAAUAAAUCAUGUGUCAUCCACA
RNAcentral lists this long non-coding RNA (1279 nucleotides) under Monodelphis domestica (gray short-tailed opossum). RNAcentral's name for it is "lncRNA (ENSMODG00000050964.1)". Lineage: Eukaryota; Metazoa; Chordata; Mammalia; Didelphimorphia; Didelphidae. The record is from RNAcentral.